Plectropomus leopardus (leopard coralgrouper) is the source of this 362-nucleotide non-coding RNA. NCBI's taxonomy places the organism in Eukaryota, Metazoa, Chordata, Actinopteri, Perciformes, Serranidae. The record is from RefSeq and is a predicted model, not a curated record.
CACAAGCUAAAAUUAACAAACUGAUAUUCACUUAGAAAAUAUCCGUCGACGGGUCUCAUCGCUGCUCUCUUCUUGACUUGGCUUGUAUGGUAAUAGCAGCCCUGUUUGUAACUGUCAACAUGUUACUCCAGAUCCUCUUUCUCUCAGGUGCUUUGGCUGCUUGUCCCUAUAAAGCACACCUCUCCAUUACUGCACCACAAGAGAUGGAAGCACUAAGUGGAUCUUGUCUACAAAUCCCAUGUAACUUUAGUGCUGUACCAGAACAAGAUAUUGAUGGAAUAAGACAAGUUGGAAUUUGGAUUAAAAAUCACCAUAACUAUAACACACAUCCAAACAAUGUGAUUUUCAACAGUGGUAAGACA